This 1184-nucleotide ribosomal RNA is filed under the name Pantoea agglomerans. RNAcentral describes it as "bacterial SSU rRNA". It matches the Rfam family "Bacterial small subunit ribosomal RNA", at positions 39 to 1256 of the family's 1533-position model. Lineage: Bacteria; Pseudomonadati; Pseudomonadota; Gammaproteobacteria; Enterobacterales; Erwiniaceae. The record is from RNAcentral.
GGCGUGCGGCAGCUACACAUGCAGUCGAACGGUAGCACAGAGGAGCUUGCUCCUCGGGUGACGAGUGGCGGACGGGUGAGUAAUGUCUGGGAAACUGCCCGAUGGAGGGGGAUAACUACUGGAAACGGUAGCUAAUACCGCAUAACGUCGCAAGACCAAAGUGGGGGACCUUCGGGCCUCACACCAUCGGAUGUGCCCAGAUGGGAUUAGCUAGUAGGUGGGGUAACGGCUCACCUAGGCGACGAUCCCUAGCUGGUCUGAGAGGAUGACCAGCCACACUGGAACUGAGACACGGUCCAGACUCCUACGGGAGGCAGCAGUGGGGAAUAUUGCACAAUGGGCGCAAGCCUGAUGCAGCCAUGCCGCGUGUAUGAAGAAGGCCUUCGGGUUGUAAAGUACUUUCAGCGGGGAGGAAGGCGACGCGGUUAAUAACCGCGUCGAUUGACGUUACCCGCAGAAGAAGCACCGGCUAACUCCGUGCCAGCAGCCGCGGUAAUACGGAGGGUGCAAGCGUUAAUCGGAAUUACUGGGCGUAAAGCGCACGCAGGCGGUCUGUCAAGUCGGAUGUGAAAUCCCCGGGCUUAACCUGGGAACUGCAUUCGAAACUGGCAGGCUAGAGUCUUGUAGAGGGGGGUAGAAUUCCAGGUGUAGCGGUGAAAUGCGUAGAGAUCUGGAGGAAUACCGGUGGCGAAGGCGGCCCCCUGGACAAAGACUGACGCUCAGGUGCGAAAGCGUGGGGAGCAAACAGGAUUAGAUACCCUGGUAGUCCACGCCGUAAACGAUGUCGACUUGGAGGCUGUUUCCUUGAGGAGUGGCUUCCGGAGCUAACGCGUUAAGUCGACCGCCUGGGGAGUACGGCCGCAAGGUUAAAACUCAAUGAAUUGACGGGGCCCGCACAAGCGGUGGAGCAUGUGGUUUAAUUCGAUGCAACGCGAAGAACCUUACCUACUCUGACAUCAGCAGACUCGCAGAGAUGCAUUGUGCUUCGGGACUCUGAAACAGUGCUGCAUGCUGUCGUCAGCUCGUGUGUGAAAUGUGGGUAGUCCGCACGGAGCGCAUCUAUCUUGGUGCAGCGAUCGUCGAACUCAGAACUGCGGAUACCGAGAGUGUAUGACGUCAGUCUACAUGCCUUACGAUAGGCUACCGUCCAAUGCUACAGACGACUCGGACACGGACUCAAGUGC